RNAcentral lists this long non-coding RNA (477 nucleotides) under Vigna radiata. RNAcentral's name for it is "long non-coding RNA (VRAD_LNC003753)". Lineage: Eukaryota; Viridiplantae; Streptophyta; Magnoliopsida; Fabales; Fabaceae. The record is from RNAcentral.
CCGUGAAAAUGAUUCCAUAAAACCAAAGUCCCAUCACACCAACCAAUCUCUUUUCAUUUCAAAUGCAAAAAAAUAAAAUUCUUUCUCCCAAGUAUGUGACCGUGGCAGUAGCUUCCAAUCAUAGAAUGGAUCCCAUCAUCCAAAAUCNAAAUACAUAGGCAUGGUUCCCUUCCAAGAAAGAAAACGUUACAGCACCUCAAAUAUCUUUCUCCGAGAGAACUUGAAUUCUUUUCACCAAGUGUCGGCUAGUAGGAAUGUUGGGAUCCCUAGGGCCAUGUGUCCUCCUCAAUUUAGGAUGGGGUCCACCCAAAAUAAAAAGAAACCCUAAGGUAAGUGUCCUACAAUUUUGGGCCCCUCCUAUUUUUUUAACAAUGGCCCAAUGUGCAAAGGUUUGUCCAAAAAGUUUAAACAAUUAAAUUACAAUACAACUAAAAUUAAAAUGUCUAAUUGUUGAGUCUUGAAUUUAUUUUGUCUCCU